RNAcentral lists this ribosomal RNA (379 nucleotides) under uncultured bacterium. RNAcentral describes it as "partial 16S ribosomal RNA". It matches the Rfam family "Bacterial small subunit ribosomal RNA", at positions 338 to 733 of the family's 1533-position model. The record is from RNAcentral.
CCUACGGGUGGCAGCAGUGGGGAAUAUUGCACAAUGGGGGAAACCCUGAUGCAGCGACGCCGCGUGAGUGAAGAAGGAUUUCGGGAUGUAAAGCUCUAUCAGCAGGAACGAGACAAGACGGUACCUGACUAAGAAGCCCCGGCCAACUACGUGCCAGCAGCCGGGGUAAUACGGAGGGGGCAAGGGUUAUCCGGAAUCACUGGGUGUAAUGCGUGCGUAGGCUGUUUCGUAAGUGGAGUGGCCAAGGGGCGGGCUAAACCCGCGGCCGGCACAUGAUACGGCGGGACUAGAGUAAAGGAGGAGGAUGCGGAAUUCUCGGUGUAGCAGUGAAAUGCGUAGAUAUCGAGAGGAACACUCGUGGCGAAGGCAGGUUCCUGGA